RNAcentral lists this ribosomal RNA (443 nucleotides) under Escherichia coli. RNAcentral's name for it is "bacterial LSU rRNA". It matches the Rfam family "Bacterial large subunit ribosomal RNA", at positions 1 to 474 of the family's 2925-position model. Lineage: Bacteria; Pseudomonadati; Pseudomonadota; Gammaproteobacteria; Enterobacterales; Enterobacteriaceae. The record is from RNAcentral.
GGGUUGUGAGGUUAAGCGACUAAGCGUACACGGUGGAUGCCCUGGCAGUCAGAGGCGAUGAAGGACGUGCUAAUCUGCGAUAAGCGUCGGUAAGGUGAUAUGAACCGUUAUAACCGGCGAUUUCCGAAUGGGGAAACCCAGUGUGAUUCGUCACACUAUCAUUAACUGAAUCCAUAGGUUAAUGAGGCGAACCGGGGGAACUGAAACAUCUAAGUACCCCGAGGAAAAGAAAUCAACCGAGAUUCCCCCAGUAGCGGCGAGCGAACGGGGAGGAGCCCAGAGCCUGAAUCAGUGUGUGUGUUAGUGGAAGCGUCUGGAAAGGCGCGCGAUACAGGGUGACAGCCCCGUACACAAAAAUGCACAUACUGUGAGCUCGAUGAGUAGGGCGGGACACGUGGUAUCCUGUCUGAAUAUGGGGGGACCAUCCUCCAAGGCUAAAUACU